This 170-nucleotide microRNA precursor is filed under the name Medicago truncatula (barrel medic). RNAcentral describes it as "MIR2619 microRNA precursor family". It matches the Rfam family "MIR2619 microRNA precursor family". The record is from Rfam by way of RNAcentral. Lineage: Eukaryota; Viridiplantae; Streptophyta; Magnoliopsida; Fabales; Fabaceae.
AAAUCGUCCCCUAAGUUUUACAACUGUAGCAGUUUUGGCCCUCCACGGCCAAUUUUUGGUAAAAAAAAUAACACGUGACACCUCACUUAGGGUGCCACGUCAGCGUAGACCGAGUCAAAAUUGGCCUUGGGGGCAAAACUGCCACAAAUGCAAAACUUAGGGGGCGGCUU